Molecule: ribosomal RNA, 494 nt
Filed under: uncultured bacterium
Lineage: Bacteria
Description: partial 16S ribosomal RNA
Rfam family: Bacterial small subunit ribosomal RNA
Source: RNAcentral
GACGAACGCUGGCGGCGCGCUUAACACAUGCAAGUCGAACGGAAAGGCCUGCUUUCCCUUGUGGAUUGCGGGUACUCGAGUGGCGAACGGGUGAGUAACACGUGAGUGAUCUGCCCCCAACUUGGGUAUAAGCCUGGGAAACUGGGUCUAAUUCCCGAUAGGACUGCAGGGUGGUGCCUGUGGUGGAAAACGAUUUUCUAGUGGUUGGGGAUGAGCUCGCGGCCUAUCAGCUUGUUGGUGGGGUAAUGGCCUACCAAGGCGGCGACGGGUAGCCGGCCUGAGAGGGUGCACCGCCGCAUUGGGACUGGGAUACGGCCCAGACGCCUACGGGAGGCAGCAGUGGGGAAUAAUGCACCAUGGGCGGAAGCCUGAUGCAGCGACGCCGCGUGGGGGAUGACGGCCUUCGGGUUGUAAACUCCUUUCGACCGCGAGGAAGCCACCUGGUUGGAAGGGUGGUGACGGUAGUGGUAGAAGAAGCACCGGCUAACUACGUG